Molecule: transfer RNA, 73 nt
Filed under: bacterium
Lineage: Bacteria
Also listed under: 3 other names
Description: tRNA-Met
Rfam family: tRNA
About the family: Transfer RNA (tRNA) molecules are approximately 80 nucleotides in length.
Source: RNAcentral
GGGCCCGUAGCUCAAGUGGCAGAGCAGCGGACUCAUAAUCCGUGGGUUGUAGGUUCGAGUCCUACCGGGCCCA